GUAGGUGAACCUGCGGAAGGAUCAUUACCACGUUUCCAAACGUACUUACCAACGUGCACCGUUACUAUCUCCCUUUUCACUACUAUGGUUGGACCGCGCAGUGUGGGCAGAGCGAGGAGUUGUCAUGACGAAUCGGCUGCGCAGAACUUCGGCAUGCUUGUCAUGAGCAUGCCGAGACAACGAAAGUAGGGCAAAGGCAAACUUCUCUGUCUGAGGUAUCGCUCUGGUAUCGAGGAUGGGGGAAACUAUAACAUAUCUCACCCCUUUUUGCUAGUUGACUUUAUUAUGUUGUUUAUGUAGCUUCGGCUGCUGAGCACACGUUUAUUAAUUAAACGCUAAUUUACAACUCUUAGCAAUGGAUGUCUAGGUUCUC
RNAcentral lists this unclassified non-coding RNA (373 nucleotides) under rhizosphere metagenome. Its description in RNAcentral is "partial ribosomal RNA internal transcribed spacer region". The record is from RNAcentral.